AUUGAACGCUGGCGGCAUGCUUUACACAUGCAAGUCGAACGGUAACACGUACUUCCUUCUUUCUUUGCUUACGAAUCGCGUACGUGUUAGAUAUGUACGUGCCCCUUCCUGGUGGAGGGGUAUACGUACUGGGAAUUGUUACUACUUCCGCAUUACGUGUCAAAGCCGAAAAUCGUGACCUCUCGGGCUCUUUCCCUCGCCUGUGCCCAGAUGGGUUUAGCUAGUGGGUGGGGUAACGGCUCACCUAGGCGACGAUCUGUAGCUGGUCUGAGAGGAUGACCAGCCACACUGGAACUGAGACACGGUCCAGACUCCUACGGGAGGCAGCAGUGGGGAAUAUUGCACAAAGGGCGCAAGCCUGAUGCAGCCAUGCCGCGUGUAUGAAGAAGGCCUUCGGGUUGUAAAGUACUUUCAGCGGGGAGGAAGGGAGUAAAGUUAAUACCUUUGCUCAUUGACGUUACCCGCAGAAGAAGCACCGGCUAACUACGUG
Molecule: ribosomal RNA, 490 nt
Filed under: uncultured bacterium
Lineage: Bacteria
Description: partial 16S ribosomal RNA
Rfam family: Bacterial small subunit ribosomal RNA
Source: RNAcentral